This 503-nucleotide ribosomal RNA is filed under the name uncultured bacterium. RNAcentral's name for it is "partial 16S ribosomal RNA". It matches the Rfam family "Bacterial small subunit ribosomal RNA", at positions 28 to 523 of the family's 1533-position model. The record is from RNAcentral.
GAUGAACGCUAGCGGCAGGCCUAACACAUGCAAGUCGAGGGGUAGCAGGAUUAAGCUUGCUUAAUUGCUGACGACCGGCGCACGGGUGCGUAACGCGUAUGCAACCUACCUUAUACUGGGGUAUAGCCCGGAGAAAUUCGGAUUAAUCCCCCAUAGUACUAAUGAAUCGCAUGGUUUAUUAGUUAAAGCAUUGCGGUAUAAGAUGGGCAUGCGUCCUAUUAGUUAGAUGGUGAGGUAACGGCUCACCAUGGCGACGAUAGGUAGGGGGCCUGAGAGGGUGGUCCCCCACACUGGUACUGAGACACGGACCAGACUCCUACGGGAGGCAGCAGUGAGGAAUAUUGGUCAAUGGGCGCAAGCCUGAACCAGCCAUGCCGCGUGCAGGAAGAAUGCCCUAUGGGUUGUAAACUGCUUUUAUUUGGGAAUAAACCUCUUUACGUGUAGAGAGCUGAAGGUACCAAAUGAAUAAGCACCGGCUAACUCCGUGCCAGCCGCCGCAGUAA